UCACUCAACUCUAACCAUAAGUUUAUGAGACUAGUCCGAAGCCAAAGGGUGGGCGCUUGAGCACAAAGCCAUCCAACCCAGUUAAACUCAGGGCUUUUAAAUUCACUGUGAAGUACAGCAAUCACACGUGUGAAGAACAGUGUGCUAUAUAGUAAUUUUACACAACAAGUUUUUCACUUGUUAUGCCUUCACUACAGACCUAAAAAGCCAGGUCUGUAGUGAAGGCAUGUAAUCUCUGCUACUUAGGGGGCUGAGGCAGGAGGAUCACAGUUGGAGGCCUGCCUAAUACCAUAAAGUAAGAUCAAGUCCAGCCUGGCAAUUUAGUGAGACUCUGACUCAAAAUAAAAAAUGAAGUCUGGGGAUUUCACUCAAUAGUGUCUCGCCUCACACAUACAAAGCUCUGGGUCCAAGCCCCAGUAAACACACAGACAUGUAAAUCAGGGGUCUACAGAUGCAGCUCACCUCUGUGGUAUAAACCUUGCCUUGUAAGCCCUAGUUUUUGAUUCCUUGGAGGGGAUUUGGGGGGAUUCAGACUAUGGUACCAUAGUACAUGAAAGCAGCCCCCUCGAGGUGUGGGGUUCCUUAAGGUCUACCAUGUCAGCAUCUUUCUUACUGAUCUCAGGUCUGUAGCUCUGCUCUUCAUUUGGAAAUAAGGCUGGGUUCUGAGUUAUCUUUUGUUCAUGCAUGUCUGUGAGCUUGUUGCUUUGAGGCACUCUACAAGAUUCCGUCAUCCAGUCGGGGGCAUUCGUCACGAAGUUGGAUGGAAAUGAUGCUCUGAGCUGACCCACAUCCUGCCUUACACUGAGAAUUUCAGAACUGGAAGUGACUGAUUGGAGAAUUUGAGAGGUCACCCCUGAGCUCUGAGUGUGGCCCUGGUGCUUCAGAAGUUACCGAGAGUUGCACUGGUUUUAAAACUGCACCCAGGAAAUUCUCACCAUGCACUGAAACGGCUGGAGCCCCCUCCCUCGGGAACCUAAAGGUGAUGCUCGCUGAGUUAACACUGAGAGACACCUAAUCUUACAGUCAUUCCUCUUAGAAGACAGUUGAAGCAUCGUGGAAAUAGUUCUUUGCACUCUUAAAUACAGCUUCAAUUUCCUCCUUACACUUUGUCUAUUAUCUUUGCUAUAUAUCCUGAUUUCCUACUUAUAUUGAAUUAAUGCAUAUUCUUUGGAUCUUCUUAGAAAAAUUACAUUUCAAGGAGAAAAUGAUAAGGAACACUGUGUUUACCUUUAAAAUGUGCCUCCCUCUAGCUCUUUGAGCAAACUGAUGCUGUUUGCUUAGAGAAAAAAAAAAAAGACUUAUAUUUUAGUCCAACAUUAAACAUUACCUGAAAGAUUAAGCAAGGGACAUCUUGCUGGCAUUUUGUUUGGAGAAUUGGACGUUAAUGAGACCAUUGGCGUCAGAGACGUUAAUCCGAACGCCCUCUGUUCUGCCGGCCUUUCCACUUUUAUUUUCCAUUUUACUAGACUUGGGCUUUUACAUUUUCAUUUUCAAACUCAUAUCUCUGUUUUCAUAGCUCCCCUAUAUGUCAUGGGCAAUUGAUUUGAGGAUAUCAUCUAUAUAAGAAUUAGAUCUUUUUUUAAAGAAACCAUCUAAGAAGAGCCAUAGGCACAAAACAGUCUAAUAAAUGACUUUCAGAUAACGCUCAUCCCCUCUUU
RNAcentral lists this long non-coding RNA (1658 nucleotides) under Mus musculus (house mouse). RNAcentral describes it as "long non-coding RNA chr10:59761677-59763335". The record is from RNAcentral. Lineage: Eukaryota; Metazoa; Chordata; Mammalia; Rodentia; Muridae.